This 447-nucleotide ribosomal RNA is filed under the name uncultured bacterium. RNAcentral's name for it is "partial 16S ribosomal RNA". It matches the Rfam family "Bacterial small subunit ribosomal RNA", at positions 338 to 795 of the family's 1533-position model. The record is from RNAcentral.
CCUACGGGCGGCUGCAGUUUCGAAUCAUUCACAAUGGGCGAAAGCCUGAUGGUGCGACGCCGCGUGAGGGAUGAAGGUCUUCGGAUUGUAAACCUCUGUCACUGGGGAGAAAACGCUUUGAGUUAAUAGUUCAAAGCCUGAUUUAAACCGGAGAGGAAGCAGUGGCUAACUCUGUGCCAGCAGCCGCGGUAAUACAGAGACUGCACUGGGCGUUCGGGGUGCGCAGGCGGUUAGGUGUGUCAGGUGUGAAAUCCCGAGGCUUAACCUCGGAACUGCGUCUGAAACUACUCGACUAGAGUACUGGAGAGGGAAACGGAAUUCACGGUGUAGCAGUGAAAUGCGUAGAUAUCGUGAGGAACACCAGAGGCGAAGGCGGUUUCCUGGACAGUUACUGACGCUCAGGCACGAAAGCAUGGGGAGCAAAAGGGAUUAGAUACCCUUGUAGUC